GGAGGGGGAGGGAUGUGGGGGGAGUGUACGGUGUUCUGGGCCAGGCUUCCAGAACCUUUAAUUCAGAAUCAGAAUAAAUUUAUAGAAAUCUAAACUACUGCAUCGAUUUUCUUCAAACUUUUUGUGUAAACUUACAGUAAUUUAUCUCAGCGGAUAGGACAACCACAACAUCAAUUCGAUUGUCUGUUUGUUUUGUUUUUGUUGCUGAUUUACCAGUUACCGAACGUCGUCAUCAUGUUGACAUGGCAAAAGACUAUACUAUGGAUUACCUUAUUCAUCAUUGUCAUUGUAAUUGUUUCGCAUAGCUAAAUGCUUCAUGAAGGGAAAAUGACCAUGAUUUUCAUGGUAGUGUAUUAAACCAUUUCUCUGAGUCACUCACUGAUUUUGUUGUGACGCCCAGUAAAAUGACCAUUAAAUGGGUUUGCUUGAUUUUCAUGGUAGUGCACUAAACCAUUUCUGUGAGUCACUCACUGAUAUCAACACCAUAUGAUGAGUAGUCAUCAUGUAUGGCUAAUGAUUAGAAGUUAGACAUGAAUAUGUAUCGUCCUCACCUAAAUUUGGAUGUGCACAUGUCUGUUUCAGAAAGAAAGUUAAGGAUAGGAGAAGAUGAGCACAUUAGCUUAGGCAUACCAGUAAUUUUAAAUCUACGUUGAUUGCAUCUGUUGGAAAAAUGGAAAUUUAUUUAACAUUUGAUUUUAACUGAAUAGUCGUAUGUGUAAUAUUUUCAAAUGCAAUCAUUGAUGUCUUAAAAUCUUCGAGAGCUGUGCCGUAUCACGACAGAAAUGUUUACCUAAAUCACAUUUUGACUUGGCAUUGUUGUAAUCAUUUUAAUUUUUCAUUUUC
This 843-nucleotide long non-coding RNA is filed under the name Daphnia pulex (common water flea). Its description in RNAcentral is "uncharacterized LOC124209163, transcript variant X1". Lineage: Eukaryota; Metazoa; Arthropoda; Branchiopoda; Diplostraca; Daphniidae. The record is from RNAcentral.